This 514-nucleotide ribosomal RNA is filed under the name uncultured bacterium. Its description in RNAcentral is "partial 16S ribosomal RNA". It matches the Rfam family "Bacterial small subunit ribosomal RNA", at positions 28 to 523 of the family's 1533-position model. The record is from RNAcentral.
GACGAACGCUGGCGGCGUGCCUAAUACAUGCAAGUCGAGCGGAUGAAAGAGGAGCUUGCUCCUCUAGAUUCAGCGGCGGACGGGUGAGUAACACGUGGGCAACCUGCCCUGUAGAUUGGGAUAACUCCGGGAAACCGGGGCUAAUACCGAAUAAUCCUUCGGACCUCAUGGUCCGAUGUUGAAAGACGGUUUCGGCUGUCACUACAGGAUCGGGCCGCGGCGCAUUAGCUAGUUGGUGAGGUAACGGCUCACCAAGGCCACGAUGCGUAGCCGACCUGAGAGGGUGAUCGGCCACACUGGGACUGAGACACGGCCCAGACUCCUACGGGAGGCAGCAGUAGGGAAUCUUCCACAAUGGACGAAAGUCUGAUGGAGCAACGCCGCGUGAGUGAAGAAGGUUCUCGGAUCGUAAAACUCUGUUGUGAGGGAAGAACAAGUACCGGAGUAACUGCCGGUGCCUUGACGGUACCUCAUUAGAAAGCCACGGCUAACUACGUGCCAGCCGCCGCGGUAA